GAAGACAGAACAGCUCAGUGUGGCUGGUGUAUCGUGUUCCUUUUGAAGAUUGAUAGGAGACUGCUGUAAACAGGCAACAAGAGUGCCAGAAGAUGUGGAAUUUGUAUAACCCCAAACUGUGUUUUCCUAACUAAUCUUGGCAAGCUUAAAACCCUGGAAAGUCACAAUUCACUUCCCAGGCGAUCAUCCUGGACAGCUCAACAGCAGAAAAGCAGAACAGGAUAUCCAGCUAUUGAACCGGGCUGCCGGCCCAGGUGGCCAGCCUUGAAGCUGUGGAGAGCGCCUACCAGGAGGGCCGCAUGGGCUGCAGGAAGACACGUUCCUUUCCUCUGUCUGUUGUGAGCUGGAAAGGAAAGUACAGUCUGCACUCCCGAAACACUGCCUGCCAACACAGCACUUUUCAGCAAAGGUGAAAAGAGAGUAUGUCUCUAACAAUAAAUGUCACAAGAGGAACAAAUCAUUUAUAAGAUUCAGGAGGCCCCAACUCAAGCAGAUAGUUGGCAGUGGAAAAACAGCUUCAAUUUUAUUACUGUAUUGAAUGAGACAUAGCUUCACAGAUGUGAGACCAUUUAAGACCAAUUGUUUUUGUACCUAAAGUUACUUAAGUAUAUAGGAUGAAAGAAAUAAUGAGUUAGGGGGCUAGGGUUAGAUUCUCUGGUCUUGUGCUAAGAGUUCCAUGACAGGAAUUUUUAUCGUUAUUAAUGACAAGGUCUUCCUCCUGAUGCCAUUCUUCUAUUUUUGUAUUUUCCUUUGUUUGUUUUUUUAAGAAUGAAUUAUUUUCAUUCAAGUUAUGAAAUCCUCCCUCAGAAGUCUGUUUAUAUUUACAAAAUAUCCUAAUUUAUAUUUAUGAAAUAAUUCUCAAAUAAAUAAAUAAUAAAGAGAAGCAGGAAGAAUGAUAGAAAAUGUGUAUUUCCAAAAUUGAUAAAGCAAUCUAUUUGCUUGUCAUUGUAAAUCAAUACAAAACAAAUAAAUUUUAAAAAAAUUACUACUAAUUACAGAUUCUUUCGAGAAAAAAAUUGCAUUCUUUAAAUCUAGGAAACUUUUAUUCUAGUUCAUAAAACAAGAUGUGAAGAAAUAAUGUUUUAUACGUAAUUGUAUAUCCAAUUGGCAAGGUAGUAUAUGUGUUCAUUUUUCUUCUACAACUGAGUCUCAAUAAAUGCAUAUAUAUGAUAAAAAUAUGAUAAUAGACAAGUAGAUAAUAGGUAGAUAGCAGAUAUAACAGAUAAGUAGAUGCUAAGUCUACACAGCUGAGGAAUCAGACCUAAAAUUAUACCAUCAGUUUAGUUACAAUUUUGUGCCUAUAUAAUUUUUUAGAAGCCUAAACAUUAAAAUUUAAUACUCUUGUUAUCCUACAAGAAUAUUGGUUAACAUUUGAAUUACUGUAAAAAAUAUUCUAAAAUAGUCAAACCAAUUUACAAUUGCAAUAUACAAUCAAGAUCACCUGCAUGAAGACAAAAUUAAUAAAAGUGCAUCAGACUUUCAUUAACUUAAAUAACCAAUAUUAUUGUUUUCCUAAAGAUAAAGUUUCAUUUUAAGAAUAAAUGUCAAAUUAUUUUCAAUUUGCUGUAUAAGAAUUACUAGUUGGCGAAAUGAGUCAAUCCUCUGUUGGGGAGCAAUGUUGUUGGUGAACAGUGGUCAACCAGUCUAUACUUUGGGGAACAGGAGCAGGAUUGGUCAUCAAAAUGAGAGAAUCUGACCUACUGUACUAUUGUCUAUGAGAUGUCUUUCAUUUUGAUGUAGGUUUCUCCUUUAUUAGUAAACAGAUGACUUUUUAGUGAGGAAAAAACCCUGUUUUUUUCAUCUCAAUAGUCUUCUUAUAAAUUGAUGAAGAAGCUCAUCAAUAAAGAAAACUUGGUACACACCAGCUUUCAUGUAAAUUGUAUCAAUUCUUAACUAGAUUUUGCCUAGGAGCUAAUUUUUCAGACAUGAAAUUGCUUGGAAAUCCAGAAGGAUUUUCUUUUUCAUCUGGGGGCAAUCUGGUAGCAAUUUCAUAUCCCUUACUAAAUUUGAGAGUAUGUCUGUGUGUGCAUAAGUGCAUGUGUAUUUAUGUAGGUGUGUAUACUAGACUUUUCCUUUUUUUUAGUUUAUUUUUUAAUUAAAGAUUCUCCACUCAAAAUAUUAGAAAUUUAGUGAAGCAUAAGAAAACCACUACUCAAAAAAUCAUUGCCAAUAUGUUAGUAAGUAUAUAUUCAGAAUUUUCUAUGAACAAGCUCAUUUUAACAAAAACCAAAAAAAGAGGCAUAGGUGUACACACUGAGUAUCUUUAUUGUCUUGUUCAUUACAUCGUGACCAUGUUUUCUAUCAACCCAUAUGCAUUUGAAGUAUGGUAAUAAAAUCUGCAUGGCAUUCCGUUAUAUAAACGCACUCUAACCGAUUUAACUAAUCCCUACUCUGAGACAUUUACUGUGCUUCUGACUUUCUCCCAUUCUAAAAGAUGCCUCAAUUAAUAUUUUAUCAAAUCUGUGUUAAAACUGUGAUAAAUUUUUACUAGUGGAAUUGCUAAGCCAAAGUCAUUGUCUACUUUUAAAGCUUCUUAUUAAUAUAUCCAUAUUCUGCUCUUUAAAAGUUUGGUCAGUUUACUCUCCUAUGAGUAGUAUGUAUUAACACUUGUUUUCUCACAUAUCCACUGUCACUGGGAAGACUACUUGUAUUUUUUCAUAUUCAGGGUCACUGGAUACUAUUAAAAAAUAAAAAAUUGGGGUCAAUUAUUUUGUUCAAAUAUGUUAUCUCAUUAUUUGUUUUUAUUUGUAUUUCUUUUAAUUUUAUCAAUUUCUUUAUUAGCCAUUUUAAUUAUUUUUUGCUUACUUUCCUGUUAUAUACAUUCUGUACAUUUUCUUAUCUUCUGUACUUUAUUAGUGAUAUUUGGUUUUGAUAUAUGAAAACAACCAUUUGUUACAAAUGAAACAAAUUUUUUUUCAGAUGGCUGUCUACAAAAUAGUCUUUCAGUAAGAGGAUGACUCUGGAGUUAGGCAAACUGGGGUUUCAAAUCUGAAUUAUCUCAUUUACAAGCUAUGUGACUUUAGACAAGCUACUAGAGCUCACUAAAACUCAGCUUUAACAUAAUAUAAAAUAGGGAUGGUAAACCUGUUUUGGACAUAAAUACUAAAUAGGCCUAGGAAAUAGCAAGUACAAAAUUAAUGAUAGUUGUUAUUAUUUUAAUUGUUUGUAAUGUUUUAGACAUUUGAACACUGUUUGAAUGUUACAAAACCAAAUCUCUAUGUUUAUAGCUUCUUAGAGUUAAAGUAGGAAAGUUGUUGAAAACUCAGACUCGGGAAACAGUCUGAGUUGGAAACCUGGCUCCGGUUUUUAGUAGUUGUUUGAUUUUAGGCAAGUUACUUAACCUUUCUUAGCCUCAGUUUUCUCAUCUGAAAAAUAGGUGGAUAUUAAUACCUGUGUUAUAAAGGCAUUGAGACAAUAAAAUAAGGUACUGCUUAUCAAACAUCUAACACAAUGCUUGGCAUUUGAAACAUUCUCAGUAAACACC
Molecule: long non-coding RNA, 3484 nt
Organism: Homo sapiens (human)
Lineage: Eukaryota; Metazoa; Chordata; Mammalia; Primates; Hominidae
Source: Ensembl